RNAcentral lists this ribosomal RNA (253 nucleotides) under uncultured bacterium. Its description in RNAcentral is "partial 16S ribosomal RNA". It matches the Rfam family "Bacterial small subunit ribosomal RNA", at positions 524 to 776 of the family's 1533-position model. The record is from RNAcentral.
UACAGAGGUGGCAAGCGUUGUUCGGAAUUACUGGGCGUAAAGGGCGCGUAGGCGGCCUUGUAAGUCUCGUGUGAAAGCCCUCGGCUUAACUGAGGAUCUGCACGGGAUACUGCGAGGCUUGAGUUCGGGAGAGGAAAGCGGAAUUCCGGGUGUAGCGGUGAAAUGCGUAGAUAUCCGGAGGAACACCGGUGGCGAAGGCGGCGUUCUGGACUGCAACUGACACUGAGGAACGAAAGCUAGGGGAGCAAACGGG